AAGAAGCAAAUAUUACUCUAGUUCUUAUCACCUAUAGCAACCAAUAAACAGGUUGAAUUUACUUGUCACACGUUUACCAGAAAACAUCUCCUUGGAUGCUGUUGUUUACUGCACUUGUGCCAGCUUUGUGCCUUUUAUUACAUAUGGGGGGGGGGGGAUAUAGACACAUUUAUAUGAAUAUAAGGCCAAUGAUUUGAGAGGAAACUUCUUCCUGACCUUUCACCACCUAAUGUCCCAGACCCACUAGAGUCAGUUUAAUUGUUGGCUUGAAGGGAUGAUUUUAAGGGACAAAGUUGAAAACAAGGAACAGGUUAUAUGAAAAUGACGAGAUAAUGAAAAAAAGGGAAUAAAUGUUAUUUAUGUAUUCGAAUUCACUAAGCACUGUAAUCUCAAUCCAUUCGAGUUUUCCAGUGCCCCACAUUGGCUGGGGCAAGCGCAUAAACAGUACAGAACUCUAAAAUCACUAUAGUGCACAUGUGUCCCUACUAGAAGUCACACCAGGGACACCUGGGAAGAAGAAGAAGAUGGUGGCCUAGCACUUAGUGAACAUUAACUAAAGCUGAUGUGCCAGCCAGGGGUAAUAGAAUCAGAUCUUUAACAGAUCCCGAGCUCCUAACUGAGGCUGGGUCUAAAAAAGAAAAAGUGAAAGAAAGGGUCCAUCAGAGACCCCCAAGAUCUCAUCACUGGGGCCUGGUCUGUCAAGGAGAAGUAGAGAUACG
Long non-coding RNA from Xenopus laevis (African clawed frog), 719 nucleotides. RefSeq lists it as uncharacterized. The transcript has 3 exons. The record is from RefSeq and is a predicted model, not a curated record. Lineage: Eukaryota; Metazoa; Chordata; Amphibia; Anura; Pipidae.